UUUUUUUGUUAUGGUUUUUUUACAUUCUUUGACUCAUGUUUAAAGUGAGAUAAACGGUUAAUAGGCCGCGAAGCCGUUCACCGUUCAAUAGUGCACAGAGUUGGAGAGUGGAGGUCAGGCUUCUCAGUUAAGUGAGAACGCCCUAAAAUUCACUAAUGAUCCUUCCGCAGGUUCACCUACGGAAA
Molecule: unclassified non-coding RNA, 185 nt
Filed under: uncultured fungus
Lineage: Eukaryota; Fungi
Description: sequence contains ITS1
Source: RNAcentral